GCCGAGGUGGCCUCGCUGCGGCAGAACAAUCGGCGGCUGCAGCUGCAGUCCAGCUCGGCGGCGCGGCAGCUGCGGCGCUUCGCCCGCUUCUUCCCGGGCAGCGCCCCGCCGGAAACGUGAGCGGAUCCACGGAAUUCCGGCAUUCUCCGGGAUUUUGGGAUCCCUUUGGGGUCCGGGAUUUUGGGAUUUCCCCCCUGGAACUGCAGAAUUCCCUGGAAUUGGGACGGAUCCAUCAGGAAUCCAUCAUUGGGAUCCAUCGGGAUCCUUCAGCUCCGGCGCUUCGCCCGCGCCUUCUCCAGCGCCGCCCCGCCGGAAACGUGAGCCGAUCCACGGAAUUCUGGGAUUUUCCAGGAUUUUAGGAUCCUCCGGGAUUUUGGGAUCCAGGAUUUUGGGAUUCUUUGGGAUUUCCCCCCUGGAAUUGGGACGUUCCCAUCGGAAUCGGCGCUUCCGGAGCUUUCCUGGAGCCCCAAGUGGAUCCUCGGGAAUUUUCCGGGAUUUUCCAGGAUUUUGGGAUUUGGGAUUUUGAGAUUUGGGAUCCUUCGGAAUCCAGAACUUUCCGUGGAAUUCCAGAACUUUCCAAGGGGCAUCCAGAACAUUCCAGAAGGGACCAAGAGGCUUCCAGGGGAUCCAGAACUUUCAGUGGAAUUUCCCAAAUUCCAGAACUUUCCAUGGAAUUCCCAAACUUCCCAGAACCUUCCAGGUGCUUCCAGAACUUUCCAUGGAAUUCCAGAACUUUUCAUGGAAUUCCGAACAUUCCAGGAGCUUCCAGGAAUUCCAGAACUUUCCAUGGAAUUCCAGAACCUUCCAGGUGCUUUCACAGGGAUUCCAGAACAUUCCAGAUCUUUCCAUGGGAUUCCCAAACAUUCCAGGAGCUUCCAGAACUUUCCAGGGGCUUCCAAAAACUCCAGACUUUUUCACAGAAUUCCAGAACUUUCCACGGAAUUCCCAAACCUUCCAUGGGCUUCCAAAAAUUCCUUGGAAUUCCGGAACCUUCCAGAACUUUCCAUGGAAUUCCAGAAAUUUUCACGGAACCUUCCAGAGGCUCUCAGGCCCCUCCCCCCCCCCCCCCGGAAUUCCCGGAUUUUUUGGGAAAAGGGGGGGGGGCCGGAAUUUCGGGAUGUUGAAAUAAUGAAUAAUAAUUAAUUAAUUAAUGAGGAAUAAUUAAUAAUAAUUAAGGAACUUCCAGGCGUGGCAAUCCAGGCACUUUGAUCCCCAAAAAAUUCCUUAAAAAUUCCUAAAAAAUUCCCUAAAAACUCCUGAAAUUUUCCCUAAAAAUUCCCUAAAAACCUGAAAUUUUCCCUAAAAAUUCCCAAAAAAUUCCCUAAAAAUUCCUGUAACUUUCCCCAAAAAUUCACCAAAAAAUUCCCUAAAAACUCCUGAAAUUUUCCCUAAAAAUUCCCAAAAAUUUCCCUAAAAACUCCUGAAAUUUUCCCUAAAAAAUCCCCCAAAAUUCCCUAAAAAUUCCUUUAAAAUUUCCCCAAAAAUCACUAAAAUUUCCUUUAAAAUUCCCUUAAAAUUCCCAAAAAAUUAGUUUUAGAAAUUUCUAAACAAUUCCCUAAAAAUUCCUUUUAAAUUCCCNNNNNNNNNNNNNNNNNNNNNNNNNNNNNNNNNNNNNNNNNNNNNNNNNNNNNNNNNNNNNNNNNNNNNNNNNNNNNNNNNNNNNNNNNNNNNNNNNNNNAACAAUUCCCUAAAAAUUCCUUUUAAAUUCCCAAAAAAUCACUAAAAAUUCCCACAAAUUUCCCUCGAAAAUCCUAAAAAAUUCCGAAAUAAUUCCAAAAAAUUGAUUUAAAAAUUCCUUAAAAAUUCCCAAAACAAUUCAUUACAAAUUCCUAAAAAUUCCUAAAAAAUCGCUAAAAUUAAUUUUGAAAUUCCCAAAAAAUUCAUUAAACGUUCAAAAAAAUUCCCUAAAAAAAAUCCCAAAAAGUUCCUUUAAAAUUCCCUAAAAAUUCCCCCCAAAAGUUCCUAAAAAUGCCAAAAAAUCCCUUUUAAUUUCCUAAAAAAUCUCUAAAAAAUUUCCCUAAAAUUCCCCAAAAAAUCCUACAAAAUUCCCCCAAAAAUUCCUGAAAUUUCCCUUUAAAAAUCCCUAAAAAUUCCCCCAAAAGUUCCUUUAAAAAUCCUAAAAAAUCCCUAAAAGUUCCCUAAAAAAUCCCCAAAAAUUCCCUAAAAAUCCCAAAAAAUUCCCUAAAAAAUCCCAAAAUUUCCCUAAAAAAAUCCCCCAAAAUUCCUAAAAUUUCCCUUAAAAAUCCCAAAAAAUUCCCCAAAAAUUCCCUAAAAAUCCAAAUAAAAUUCCCUAAAAAUUCCCA
Molecule: long non-coding RNA, 2303 nt
Filed under: Chloebia gouldiae (Gouldian finch)
Lineage: Eukaryota; Metazoa; Chordata; Aves; Passeriformes; Passeridae
Description: Erythrura gouldiae (Gouldian finch) lncRNA (ENSEGOG00005018804.1)
Source: RNAcentral